AAGCCGAUGACGAUGAAACUUGAACUGGAAUUACCGUCUGAAUAGAUUUAUUCUUUGAUGUAAAUUUCUUGGCUGUGGUACUGAGGCUUUGC
Molecule: small nucleolar RNA, 92 nt
Organism: Medicago truncatula (barrel medic)
Lineage: Eukaryota; Viridiplantae; Streptophyta; Magnoliopsida; Fabales; Fabaceae
Source: Rfam